Molecule: microRNA precursor, 115 nt
Filed under: Arabidopsis thaliana (thale cress)
Lineage: Eukaryota; Viridiplantae; Streptophyta; Magnoliopsida; Brassicales; Brassicaceae
Description: MIR1888 microRNA precursor family
Rfam family: MIR1888 microRNA precursor family
Source: Rfam by way of RNAcentral
CCAAAUUCUUAAGCUAAGAUUUGUAAAAAAAGGGCUCUUAUAUAAGAGCUUUUAGGCUUAUAUUUAAGCUUUUAUAUAAGAACCCUUUCUUCACAAAUCUUAGUUUAAGAUUUGG